RNAcentral lists this ribosomal RNA (253 nucleotides) under uncultured bacterium. Its description in RNAcentral is "partial 16S ribosomal RNA". It matches the Rfam family "Bacterial small subunit ribosomal RNA", at positions 524 to 776 of the family's 1533-position model. The record is from RNAcentral.
UACGAAGGGGGCUAGCGUUGUUCGGAAUUACUGGGCGUAAAGAGCGCGCAGGCGGUCGUACAAGUCGCGUGUGAAAGCCCCUGGCUCAACUGGGGAGGGUCACGCGAUACUGUUCGACUUGAAGGCAGGAGAGGGAAGUGGAAUUCCCGGUGUAGUGGUGAAAUGCGUAGAUAUCGGGAGGAACACCAGUGGCGAAGGCGACUUCCUGGCCUGUUCUUGACGCUGAGGCGCGAAAGCUAGGGUAGCAAACGGG